UCAAUUUGAAACCAUAAUACACUUACAUGCACACGCACAUGCACACACAAAGUGAACGCCUAAAAGAUGCACUGGCAAACGUGAGCUCUGUGCACUCUUUUUUUUUUUUUUUUUUUCUCUCAGAAGACUCUAGUUAUUGUGCAAUAUUUGCCACGGAGGACAUUCGCGCAUCUCGUGUUUUUAAAAACACAGCGCCUCUACACAGGCUAUUCAUAGUCAGAUAGCUAUGCCCAUGGUAGAGAUAACAAAGAUAAGGGGUAAAAUUCUAAUCUUUGUUAUCAUGUAAAGUUACAAGUGGUUUGGUGUUGCUUGUAUAAAGCUGUCACAGAUGUGGGUUCCUGCUUUCAGGGGAUUUUUUUUGUUUCUUUGUUAACACUUAACGGCUAACAGUAGUGACCUUUGUUAUUAAGAUACAUCACAUAGACCAGUGCUAAUUAGUGCUAAGCAAAAUACAGAUUAAAUAUUGCAAUUUUACUAACCAUGACUGGAUCACAGUUGACUGUUGGUGAGCAAAACCAUAUUUUGUAGCAUGCUGUGAACAUGUCUGACCUGCUGUAAAGUUGGGCAUUUUAACAUAUGAGUCUCACUGUCGGGGUCAUCCUUUAGUGGCCAUUUAAGGAACUGCAGGGUUUGGCACUCACACACUGGUUUCAUUUCUUAGUUCUGGAGAUGUCUCCAUGGUACAAACUGAAAAAUAAUUUAACUUUACAUUUGCACAAUUGCUCCGUUUUGGAAAUCUCAUUUAUGGAAACACAACUUAAAUUAAGACAUUCAGCAACAUAUUUAUGAUUUAUAGUUGGCGUGUUUGACCUUUUAGAAAUAUAAACAGUUCAGUACCAAUUAGAGUUGCUGUUAUCUAUAACUGAUAUUGUCUGAACAUCAGCUCUACUCUAAAUGUCACUGUAAUCUCUUGUCAAAUAUGAAUGUGACUAACCUCAAACCUCAAACUGACUGUAGCCAAGUUUUAUUUACUGUAGUUUUCUAGGUCCCAUAAACAAGUUUUUCAUAAGCAAACAUGACGCUGUAUGUCAAAGCUUUCAUUCUACAAAAACUGCUAUUCAGAUUUUUUUGCUAUGACUUUGCUUUUUAUAUUUAGUGUCACACCGCCUCUGCAGUCCAAACUGCCAGACUUUAAACUGUCAAAACUUUAGAUAAUGUCAUUUUUAAAGCUUGUUGGACAAAAAAAAAAAAAA
Molecule: long non-coding RNA, 1193 nt
Organism: Oreochromis niloticus (Nile tilapia)
Lineage: Eukaryota; Metazoa; Chordata; Actinopteri; Cichliformes; Cichlidae
Exons: 2
Source: RefSeq, a predicted model, not a curated record